RNAcentral lists this ribosomal RNA (435 nucleotides) under uncultured bacterium. RNAcentral's name for it is "partial 16S ribosomal RNA". It matches the Rfam family "Bacterial small subunit ribosomal RNA", at positions 28 to 507 of the family's 1533-position model. The record is from RNAcentral.
GAUGAACGCUGGCGGUAUGCUUAACACAUGCAAGUCGAACGGACUCUUCGGAGUUAGUGGCGGACGGGUGAGUAACGCGUGAGAAUCUGGCUUUGGGUUCGGGACAACCACUGGAAACGGUGGCUAAUACCGGAUGUGCCGAGAGGUAAAAGAGAAAUUGCCUGAAGAUGAGCUCGCGUCUGAUUAGCUAGUUGGUGAGGUAAAGGCUCACCAAGGCAGCGAUCAGUAGCUGGUCUGAGAGGAUGACCAGCCACACUGGGACUGAGACACGGCCCAGACUCCUACGGGAGGAAGCAGGGGGGAAUGUUCCGCAAUGGGCGAAAGCCUGACGGAGCAAUACCGCGUGAGGGAAGAAGGCUCUUGGGUUGUAAACCUCUUUUCUUAGGGAAGAACAAAAUGACGGUACCUAAGGAAUCAGCAUCGGCUAACUCCGUG